This 253-nucleotide ribosomal RNA is filed under the name uncultured bacterium. RNAcentral describes it as "partial 16S ribosomal RNA". It matches the Rfam family "Bacterial small subunit ribosomal RNA", at positions 524 to 776 of the family's 1533-position model. The record is from RNAcentral.
UACGUAGGGUGCAAGCGUUAAUCGGAAUUACUGGGCGUAAAGCGUGCGCAGGCGGUUAUGUAAGACAGAUGUGAAAUGCCCGGGCUUAACCUGGGAACUGCAUUUGUGACUGCAUGGCUAGAAUCUGGCAGAGGGGGGUAGAAUUCCACGUGUAGCAGUGAAAUGCGUAGAUAUGUGGAGGAAUACCGAUGGCGAAGGCAGCCCCCUGGGUCAAGAUUGACGCUCAUGCACGAAAGCGUGGGGAGCAAACAGG